CCUACGGGUGGCUGCAGUCGAGAAUCAUUCACAAUGGGGGAAACCCUGAUGGUGCGACGCCGCGUGGGGGAAUGAAGGUCUUCGGAUUGUAAACCCCUGUCAUGUGGGAGCAAAUUAAAAAGAUAGUACCACAAGAGGAAGAGACGGCUAACUCUGUGCCCGCAGCCGCGGUAAUACAGAGGGCUCAAGCGUUGUUCGGAAUCACUGGGCGUAAAGCGUGCGUAGGCUGUUUCGUAAGUCGUGUGUGAAAGGCGCGGGCUCAACCCGCGGACGGCACAUGAUACUGGGAGACUAGAGUAAGGGAGGGGGAACCGGAAUUCUCGGUGUAGCAGUGAAAUGCGUAGAUAUCGAGAGGAACACUCGUGGCGAAGGCGGGUUCCUGGACAUUAACUGACGCUGAGGCACGAAGGCCAGGGGAGCGAAAGGGAUUAGAUACCCCAGUAGUC
This 446-nucleotide ribosomal RNA is filed under the name uncultured bacterium. Its description in RNAcentral is "partial 16S ribosomal RNA". It matches the Rfam family "Bacterial small subunit ribosomal RNA", at positions 338 to 795 of the family's 1533-position model. The record is from RNAcentral.